RNAcentral lists this ribosomal RNA (399 nucleotides) under uncultured bacterium. RNAcentral's name for it is "bacterial SSU rRNA". It matches the Rfam family "Bacterial small subunit ribosomal RNA", at positions 359 to 775 of the family's 1533-position model. The record is from RNAcentral.
GAAUAUUGCACAAUGGGGGAAACCCUGAUGCAGCGACGCCGCGUGAGUGAAGAAGCGCCUCGGCGCGUAAAGCUCUGUCAGCAGGAACGAUAAUGACGGUACCUGAAGAAGAAGCCCCGGCUAACUACGUGCCAGCAGCCGCGGUAAUACGUAGGGGGCAAGCGUUAUCCGGAUUUACUGGGUGUAAAGGGAGCGUAGACGGUUAUGUAAGUCUGGAGUGAAAGCCCGGGGCCCAACCCCGGGACUGCUUUGGAAACUGUGUAACUGGAGUACAGGAGGGGCAGGCGGAAUUCCUGGUGUAGCGGUGAAAUGCGUAGAUAUCAGGAGGAACACCGGCGGCGAAGGCGGCCUGCUGGACUGAAACUGACGUUGAGGCUCGAAAGCGUGGGGAGCAAACAG